This 414-nucleotide long non-coding RNA is filed under the name Carica papaya (papaya). Its description in RNAcentral is "long non-coding RNA (CPAP_LNC012305)". Lineage: Eukaryota; Viridiplantae; Streptophyta; Magnoliopsida; Brassicales; Caricaceae. The record is from RNAcentral.
AACCUUUCCACGCCCAUAUGAGAGCCGAAAGGCCAACAAGUGAGCCGAAAAAUACGAGCGGAGCUCGACCGAGCCAUCAUGACGUCAAACCAAAAACUCCUCCGAUGAAUCCCUUCUUGUAUCUCAUUUCCUUCGAUUCUUUGAUCAAUGUGUUCCUCGUCUCUUUCUGAUGCAGCUUAGCUAAAAGGAAAAACUCUUACCGUAAGAGAGGAACGAUAGAGCCGCUGCACCGGAGAACCCUCCUUACUGGUACGGUCUUGAUUUUUUCCUUUUCAUGCUGAUAGAGGCUCCUUAACCUUAUUUUUCGUAGGUUUUCAUGCAAAACCGAUCAAAAAUAACCAAAAUUGGCUGAAAACAACCAAAUCGAAAGGAAAUGUCGCCGUGGGCAGCAGAGCCAACACCAAAGCACAGCGG